This 2078-nucleotide ribosomal RNA is filed under the name human gut metagenome. RNAcentral describes it as "bacterial LSU rRNA". It matches the Rfam family "Bacterial large subunit ribosomal RNA", at positions 830 to 2925 of the family's 2925-position model. The record is from RNAcentral.
CAAUCGAACCCGGAGAUAGCUGGUUCUCCUCGAAAUAGCUUUAGGGCUAGCCUCGCAUUAGUUUACCGGAGGUAGAGCACUGAAUGGUCUAGGGGGCCUCACCGCCUACCGAAACCUAUCAAACUGCGAAUGCCGGAUAAAUGAUGUGCGGGAGUCAGGCCGCGAGAGAUAAGUUCCGCGGUCAAAAGGGGAACACCCCAGAUCGUCUGCUAAGGUCCCCAAGUACGCGUUAAGUGGGAAAGGAUGUUGGAUUGCACAGACAACCAGGAUGUUGGCUUAGAAGCAGCCACACAUUCAAAGAGUGCGUAAUAGCUCACUGGUCGAGUGAUCCAGCGCCGAAAAUGUAACGGGGCUAAAACGCGACACCGAAGCAGCGGGAUGCGUAAGCAUCGGUAGAGGAGCAUUGUGUGAGGGUUGAAGCCAGAGCGAGAGCACUGGUGGACUUCACAGAAGAGAGAAUGCCGGUAUGAGUAGCGAGACCCAUGCGAGAAACAUGGGCGUCGAAGGCCCAAGGUUUCCUGGGGAAGGUUCAUCCACCCAGGGUAAGUCGGGACCUAAGCCGAGGACUGAGGUCGUAGGCGAUGGACAGCAGGUAGAGAUUCCUGCACCACUUACACUUGUUUGACGAAGCAGUGACACAGAAGGAUAGGACGAGCGCGGUGAUGGUCAACCGCGUAGGCGGCACGAGGCUGGGGAGCAGUAAAGUACACUUCCCGUUAAGGCUGAGUGCUGACAGGACCGAAAAAGAGUAGGGAAGCGUCUGAGUUCACGCUGGCGAGAAAAGCUGCUAAGGAGAGUGUGAGUGCCCGUACCGGAAACCGACGCAGGUGGGCGAGGAGAGAAUCCUGAGACGGACGGGAGAACUCUUGUUAAGGAACUCGGCAAAAUGACCCCGUAACUUCGGGAGAAGGGGUGCCUCGAAAGAGGCCGCAGAGAAUAGUCACAAGCGACUGUUUAGCAAAAACACAGGUAUCUGCGAAAGCGAGAGCUGACGUAUAGGUGCUGACGCCUGCCCGGUGCUGGAAGGUUAAGGGGAAGUGUUAGGGGAAACCCGAAGCAGAGAACCGAAGCCCCAGUAAACGGCGGCCGUAACUAUAACGGUCCUAAGGUAGCGAAAUUCCUUGUCGGGUAAGUUCCGACCCGCACGAAUGGCGUAACGACUUGUGAGCUGUCUCAACAGGAGGCCCGGUGAAAUUGAAGUAUGUGUGAAGAUGCACAUUACCCGCGACUGGACGGAAAGACCCCGUAGAGCUUUACUGUAACCUGACAUUGGAUCUUGAUAACGGAUGCACAGGAUAGGUGGGACGCUGGGAGGUAUGGACUUUGGUCUGUACGGAGCGGACGUUGGGAUACCACUCUUCUGUUAUUGAGAUUCUAACCUCAAGCCGUAAGCCGGAUGAGAGACAGUGUCAGGCGGACAGUUUGACUGGGGCGGUCGCCUCCGAAAGAGUAACGGAGGCGCCCAAAGGUACCCUCAGAAUGGAUGGAAACCAUUCGAAGAGAGCAAAGUCAGAAGGGUGCUUGACUGCGAGACCAACAAGUCGAGCAGGUACGAAAGUAGGGCUUAGUGAUCCGGCGGUAAGAGAGUGGAAUUGCCGUCGCUCAACGGAUAAAAGCUACCUCGGGGAUAACAGGCUGAUCUCCCCCAAGAGUUCACAUCGACGGGGAGGUUUGGCACCUCGAUGUCGGCUCGUCGCAUCCUGGGGCUGAAGCAGGUCCCAAGGGUUUGGCUGUUCGCCAAUUAAAGCGGCACGCGAGCUGGGUUCAGAACGUCGUGAGACAGUUCGGUCCCUAUCUGUUGCGGGCGUAAGAGAUUUGAAGGGAGCUGUCCUUAGUACGAGAGGACCGGGAUGGACGUACCUCUGGUGCACCAGUUGUCCUGCCAAGGGCAUAGCUGGGUAGCUAUGUACGGACGAGAUAAACGCUGAAAGCAUCUAAGCGUGAAACUCCCCCUAAGAUGAGAUCUCUCAUCCAUUAUGGAGUAAGGGCCCAGAAAGACGAUCUGGUUGAUAGGCCGGAGGUGGAAGUGCAGUAAUGUAUGGAGCUGACCGGUACUAAUAGCCCGAGGGCUUGACCUA